This is a long non-coding RNA of Cydia pomonella (codling moth), 1943 nucleotides long. RefSeq lists it as uncharacterized. The transcript has 2 exons. The record is from RefSeq and is a predicted model, not a curated record. NCBI's taxonomy places the organism in Eukaryota, Metazoa, Arthropoda, Insecta, Lepidoptera, Tortricidae.
UUAGUUGCGGGCGUCUCGCUCGCACAAAUACAUGCGUAUAAGUGCGAAAUGAACACACGAAUGACAGCUAACUGGUAUCAUUCCAAUAUUAUUCUAAAAUUGGUUUAAUGUCAGUUGCACUUUCGAAUUGGCCUACAUAGCAAUUUCCUUAGCCUGCACACCGGAUCGGCGUGUGGGCCGGCAUCUAGCUAAUGUAAAGCCACCUCAUUAGGUGCUUUUAGCCUUUUGAACGGCAAGAACACCUAAAGAUGUGGUGAGAGAAAGCCGCGCGUCCCUCAUGCACUGCACUAGCUUUACAGCUUGCAUUGCGACCAAUGUAUGCCGCUCACCGCCCCGCCGGUCGCGUGGGUCCAAUCCACGGCCCUAGAAGACGUACUUUACAUAUAAACAAGAGCACGCGAGCAUUUUGCGAGUUGUGUAUGUGUACUUGUGUUAUCUAGGCGCACAAACGGUUACAAUAACAAGAAGUGUACACCGCGUGUGCAGUCCAACACGGGAGCACGGGUGCGAUUCGAAAAUAACGCGCUAGCGACGCAUUACGACAUUGAUAUUUUACCCUUUGAACGCCAUAACAAAAACGUUACUCACAUGCCAAGGUCACGGGCGCAAGUGAGCUUGAAAGUGCAUGAGUAUUACAUUAGGGACUUUGACAGCGAUUAUAACAACUAUAAUCAUUAAUGUGUUCAUGGCCCUUAAAUCAUGUCUAGUGACGGCGCCUUUAGGUGUUCUUGACGUUCAAAAGGUUAAGGGCGUUUGCUAGCUGGCGCUAGUGCACGGAGCGGGCAAACACGCGCAGGUGCCUUUGUAAGUAAAAUCAGUCGCACGCGUCCGCGCCAGUUAGCGUUGCUCAUACUGUAAGAGCUCGUUCCCACUAUGUCGGAUGUCGUGGCGAUUUUUAAUCGUACGUUCCACUGGCAGAACAUUUUAUAUGAAGCUGUUCACACUCGUCCGACAACGAUUUUGUGUCGGAUACGACAUAAAAUGUCGUGCGUUUUGCCAGCCCUCCCAGCCCGGAAAAAAAACGUGUCGUGUCUCGCUCGCGUACGAGUGAAUAUAGCGCUGUUCACAUUUUGUCGGAUGUCGGAACGAUUUCGCCCGCGCGGCACCCCCUCACACACCCUCGCGUCGCUGCCGCGUCGUUGCGAUCGCUUCUUAAUUCAGCUAUCAAAUUCUGAAAUAUUCAUAAGGUAAAUCUUUCCCUGAGAAUUGGGUGUACCCAAUAUCUCCUUUUUUUUUACUGCCUCUAAUCGUUUCUUUCGCAAAUAAUACAAAACCACAAACAUUUCGUCGACGUUCAUCUUGUACUAAGCCUCGCUACCCACUCGAAAAAUACACGCCAGCUGCGAUCGUGCACGACAGACGACUAGUGGGAACAGUACCGCCGACACCCGAUUGAAAUCCGGAUCCGACAUCCGACAUAGUGAGAACAGCGGCAACGACACACGAUUAAAAAUCGCCACGACAUCCGACAUAGUGGGAACGAGCUCUAAGCCGCACGCCCGCUCCAUGCACACGCGCGACGUUGCGGACGCCCUAUGCCCUAAACCUUACUUGAAAGUGUGAAGGUUACUCUGACAGCGGCUAUAUCAGCUAUAAUGUAUUUAUGACGCUUUGAGCAUAGCUAGUUACGACGCCUUAAGGUAUUCUUGGCGUUCAAAAGGUUAAGGGCGUUUGCUAGCUGGCGCGAGUGCACGGAGCGGGUGCACCUAGCGUCGCCAGUUACUGUUUUUCGUUAACCCGCUUCAGCUAGCAAACUAAUCGCAAAUGGUCCGAGAUUGGCGCAAUAACCAUGCAUUCCCUUAUCUGGAUCUGGAUGCACCUAUUCACCAACGCUUGCUUUAAAGUAACUUGUCGACUCGUCCUGAUAAUAUUUGUGCGACCGUGAAGAAAAUCUAUGCCGUCACUUAUUUUUCAAUGUAUAUGAAAUAAAGAUGUUAAAUGUA